RNAcentral lists this small RNA (786 nucleotides) under Arabidopsis thaliana (thale cress). RNAcentral describes it as "ATSL034070". Lineage: Eukaryota; Viridiplantae; Streptophyta; Magnoliopsida; Brassicales; Brassicaceae. The record is from RNAcentral.
ACAAACAAAGAAACACUACUUAGGCUUUUUAGAUCCGGUAGCGGUGCUAGUUCUUAUACUCAAUCAUACACAUGCAAUCUAGUCAUAUUUGAUUCCAAAACACUAACCAAGCUUCUUCUUGCUUCUCGAAGCUUUGAUGGUGUAGCUGAACUUCGUAUGAGUCUUUGAAUUUGUAUCUUCUAACAAAGAAACACUAAUUAGGCUUUUAAGAUCAUGUUGCGGUUCUAGUUCUUAUACUCAAUCAUACACACGAUAUCUAGUCAUAUUUAACUCCAAAACACUAAAGAGGCUUCUUCUUGGUUCUCAAAGCUUUGCUCGUGUUGCCAUAGUUCUUAUUUGUCUUUUGCUUUGUAUCUUCUAACAUGGAAACACUACAGAGGCUUUUAAGAUCCGGUUUCAGUUCUGGUUCUUAUACUUAAUCAUACACAUGACAUCUAGUCAUAUUUGACUCCAAAACACUAUCAACCUUCUUCUUGCUUCUCCCAGCUUUGAUGGUGUAGCCGUAAUCUGUAUGAAUCUUUGGCUUUGUAUCUUCUAACAAGGAAACACUAGGCUUUUAAAUCAGGUUACAGUUCUAAGUCUUAUACUCAAUCAUACACAUGACAUCUAGUCAUAUUUGACUCGAAAACACUAACCAAGGUUCUCCCUGCUUCUCAAAGCUUUGAUGGUGUAGCCAAAGUCCGUAUAAGUCUUUUACUUUGCAUCUUCUAACAAGGAAACACUACUUAGGCUUUUACGAUUCAGUUGCGGUUCUAGUUCUUAUACUCAAUCAUACACAUGACAUUU